This 69-nucleotide small nuclear RNA is filed under the name Canis lupus dingo (dingo). The record is from RNAcentral. Lineage: Eukaryota; Metazoa; Chordata; Mammalia; Carnivora; Canidae.
GUGUUCGCUUUGGCAGCACAUACACUAAAAUUGGAACGAUACAGAGAAGAUUAGCAUGGCCCCUGCACA